CAUCCAAGGAAGGCAGCAGGCGCGCAAAUUACCCAAUCCCGAUACGGGGAGGUAGUGACAAUAAAUAACAAUACAGGGCUUUUCAGUCUUGUAAUUGGAAUGAGUACAAUUUAAAUCUCUUAACGAGGAACAAUUGGAGGGCAAGUCUGGUGCCAGCAGCCGCGGUAAUUCCAGCUCCAAUAGCGUAUAUUAAAGUUGUUGCAGUUAAAAAGCUCGUAGUUGAAUUUUAGGCCCGGUUGGACGGUCUGCCUUUGGGUUUGUACUGUCCUGACUGGGCCUUACCUUCUGGUGAGCUGUCGUGUUGUUUACUCAGCGCGGCAGGGAACCAGGACUUUUACUUUGAAAAAAUUAGAGUGUUUAAAGCAGGCAUUCGCUUGAAUACAUUAGCAUGGAAUAAUAGAAUAGGACUUUGGUUCUAUUUUGUUGGUUUCUAGGACCGAAGUAAUGAUUAAUAGGGAUAGUUGGGGGCAUUAGUAUUUAAUUGUCAGGGGUGAAAUUCUUGGAUUUAUGAAAGACUAACUUCUGCGAAAGCAUUUGCCAAGGAUGUUUUCAUUAAUCAAGAACGAAAGUUAGGGGAUCGAAGACGAUCAGAUACCGUCGUAGUCUUAACCAUAAACUAUGCCGACUAGGGAUCAGACAAGGAUAUUUUGACUUGUUUGGCACCUUAUGAGAAAUCAAAGUUUUUGGGUUCCGGGGGGAGUAUGGUCGCAA
This 711-nucleotide ribosomal RNA is filed under the name uncultured fungus. RNAcentral's name for it is "SSU rRNA". It matches the Rfam family "Eukaryotic small subunit ribosomal RNA", at positions 412 to 1134 of the family's 1831-position model. Lineage: Eukaryota; Fungi. The record is from RNAcentral.